GUCUCUUUGUAGGUGAGGUGUAUAUAAAGAGUCAGACCUGCCCGGUGACUAAAAUGUUAAACGGCCGCGGUACCCUAACCGUGCAAAGGUAGCAUAAUCAUUUGCCUUUUAAUUGGAGGCUGGUAUGAAUGGUUUGACGAGAGCUAAGCUGUCUCUUUUUAAAUAAGUAGAAGUUAAUCUUUAGGUGAAGAAGCCUAAAUUAAUUUGAGGGACAAGAAGACCCUGUUGAGCUUUAGUGGGAUUGUAAAUUUAAGUUCACUUAUUGUAGGUGAAAACUAGUUUAAUGUAGUAGUAUAGUUUUGUUUUACAAAAAAUCUUUAGUUGGGGCGACUAAGGAACAGAAAAAGCUUCCUUUAUUAGUUUUGUAAUUUUAACUAAAAAUUGAUUUGUUAUUUUAGCAAGAUAAAAUGAUCCAAAAUUUUUGAUUAAAGGAAAAAGUUACCACAGGGAUAACAGCGUAAUCUUUCUGGAGAGAUCAUAUCGAAAGAAGGGUUUGCGACCUCGAUGUUGGACUAAGAUAUCCUGGAGGUGCAGAAGCUUCCGAUGGUUGGUCUGUUCGACCAUUAAAAUCUU
Molecule: ribosomal RNA, 573 nt
Filed under: Stomatolina angulata
Lineage: Eukaryota; Metazoa; Mollusca; Gastropoda; Trochida; Trochidae
Description: partial 16S rRNA
Rfam family: Bacterial large subunit ribosomal RNA
Source: RNAcentral